CUUCCAACUGUCUGGUACAUCUGCACCAUGGCAGCCAGUCUCUGCCCUCCCUCACCCCCAGCAGCUGGUUUGUUCCUGGCAGCGUGGUAGCUGUCUAGCACCGAGGUGAAAUAUACUUCACCACAGAUGCCCCUGACCAUAGGGAAAUGAGGACGACUGGAGUACGGCAGCCCCCGUCUGUGCGGGCACCUUCCCAGACUGCGGCGGAGGCCCGAAGCCGCGGAUGGCACAGAACGCCGUCUGUAUCGUUCUCUCCUGUACCUGCACACCUCUUCGCUUCAAGGAAGCACUUUAUGGCUUUUCCUCGGCAUAUCCCAAUGCCAGUUCACUCCCCUUGUGCUGUGGGGCCACUGUGAAAACUAGGUGAACACGGGCACUGAGAAACUACAACACUCCAUCUGGGGAUGACAAAACCCAUUCCUUCAACAGUAGUCCUUUUGGGAACCAAUACCGGCUAGGUGCCAUGAGUGUGCUGCAGAGAGUGC
Molecule: long non-coding RNA, 485 nt
Organism: Artibeus jamaicensis (Jamaican fruit-eating bat)
Lineage: Eukaryota; Metazoa; Chordata; Mammalia; Chiroptera; Phyllostomidae
Exons: 3
Source: RefSeq, a predicted model, not a curated record